GAAGUUUUAGUUAAACAAUAACAUUAGUUUGUCAAACUAAAAUUAUUAUCUAUUAAUAACCUUCC
Molecule: transfer RNA, 65 nt
Filed under: Heterogamodes hebraica
Lineage: Eukaryota; Metazoa; Arthropoda; Insecta; Blattodea; Corydiidae
Description: tRNA-Asp
Source: RNAcentral